Molecule: long non-coding RNA, 529 nt
Filed under: Androctonus crassicauda
Lineage: Eukaryota; Metazoa; Arthropoda; Arachnida; Scorpiones; Buthidae
Source: RNAcentral
AACAAUUAUUAAAAAAUAAUACUAUCUUAUAUAGAAGAUAUAUAGAUGAUAUCUUAGUCAUUUCUGAGAAGCCUAACCAUCGUAUAGACUUAGAAGGUAAACUUACAGAUGCUUCACUAGGCCUAAAGUUGAUUAAACAAUGAGGAGGAAAUUGAAUUCUUAGAUAUAAGAACUAUGAUAAUGACAGGAGUAUAAUCUAAGCAUCUAUUGGAAAGAUACUUAUGUACUGCUAUUCACACCGGCAACAUCGCAGGAACCAUGGUCAUGCAAAAUGGCUGCAUUUAGAUCAAUGCUACAAAGGAUAAAUACACAUUGUACAACGUAUCAAAGUCAAAAAGAGGAACUACAAUGGAUUUUAAACCAAGCCACAAACCAUGUAUACAGUAGAAAUACGAUUCUAAACCUAAGGAAUAAAUUAUCCAAAAGAACCAACAGGAAAACUAAAUUCGUAGAUAAGCAUUCAAAGAACUUUAUAAAUCUGGAAAUCAACCCUAUUUCCAUGAGAUACAAAAACAAAAUUGAAAAAUAU